Molecule: ribosomal RNA, 447 nt
Filed under: uncultured bacterium
Lineage: Bacteria
Description: bacterial SSU rRNA
Rfam family: Bacterial small subunit ribosomal RNA
Source: RNAcentral
UGGGGAAUAUUGGACAAUGGGCGAAAGCCUGACCCAGCAACGCCGCGUGAAGGAUGAAGUAUUUCGGUAUGUAAACUUCGAAAGAAUAGGAAGAAUAAAUGACGGUACUAUUUAUAAGGUCCGGCUAACUACGUGCCAGCAGCCGCGGUAAUACGUAGGGACCAAGCGUUGUUCGGAUUUACUGGGCGUAAAGGGCGCGUAGGCGGCAAUUCAAGUCAUCUGUGAAAUCUCCGGGCUUAACUCGGAACGGUCAGAUGAUACUGCUUUGCUAGAGUGCAGAAGGGGCAAUCGGAAUUCUUGGUGUAGCGGUGAAAUGCGUAGAUAUCAAGAGGAACACCUGAGGUGAAGACGGGUUGCUGGGCUGACACUGACGCUGAGGCGCGAAAGCCAGGGGAGCAAACGGGAUUAGAUACCCUGGUAGUCCCUGAGCGGGCUGGCAAGGCGCAU